CCUACGGGAGGCAGCAGUGAGGAAUAUUGGUCAAUGGGCGCGAGACUGAACCAGCCAAGUAGCGUGAAGGAUGACUGCCCUACGUGUUGUAAACUUCUUUUAUAAAGGAAUAAGGUCAGGCACGCGUGCCUUGUUGUAUGUACUUGAUGAAUAAGGAUCGGCUAACUCCGUGCCAGCAGCCGCGGUAAUACGGAGGAUCCGAGCGUUAUCCGGAUUUAUUGGGUUUAAAGGGUGCGUAGGUGGUUUGUUAAGUCAGUGGUGAAAGUUUGCGGCUCAACCGUAAAAUUGCGAUUGAUACUGGCAGUCUGGAGUACAGUGGAGGAAGGCGGAAGUCGUGGUGUAGCGGUGAAAUGCUUGGAUAUGACGAAGAACUCCGAUUGCGAGGGCAGAUUACUAAACUGCAACGGAGAUGGGUGCCCGAAAGUGUGGGUAUCAAACAGGAUUAGAUACCGUAGUGUC
This 459-nucleotide ribosomal RNA is filed under the name uncultured bacterium. Its description in RNAcentral is "partial 16S ribosomal RNA". It matches the Rfam family "Bacterial small subunit ribosomal RNA", at positions 338 to 795 of the family's 1533-position model. The record is from RNAcentral.